This is a long non-coding RNA of Perca flavescens (yellow perch), 1523 nucleotides long. RefSeq lists it as uncharacterized. The record is from RefSeq and is a predicted model, not a curated record. NCBI's taxonomy places the organism in Eukaryota, Metazoa, Chordata, Actinopteri, Perciformes, Percidae. The transcript is spliced from 3 exons.
UUUGUUUUACAGAAGAUCAUAUCUGUGCGGUCACCAUCAAGGAUAUGGAUUAGAAGACAUUUAAAAGUCUGUCUUUAGAGGAAAAACUUGAGAAUAAACUCCUCGGUGCCCACCAGUGGCGGAAUAUUGUUAUAAACCAAACCUCUAAAAACGUGUAGGGUUAUCCAGGAGCAAAAAGGGCUAAUUGCUAACUUUAGCUUGUCGGAGAAGACGGUUUUAUGUUGUUCCCGUGUGUUUUCUUCGGAUUCGGGUUGGUACAGAACCAUAGAGUGUUAAUAUAAAUAUACAGUAUAUGUACAGAACAGGCUUUCAGGAUCUCCGGCAUCAUUCUGAGAGGAUUACCCAACACGAAAGCAGCCGGACGACGCGGUAAAAUUGGGCAAACAUGGCUAACUUUACCCAAACUGACAGAGCGUACACAGCAACCUAAGGAGAACAGCUGUUGAACGUCAACUCCUGAGUUACCUGAGUCUGCCUGGGUUACUCCCAAGGUCCACCUUCCUGCACCAUCUGCUGUGUGUCUACCCGUGUGAAGCUAAAAGAAACGAGCACCGAACGUUUGCCACAGAGUAAACACUUCCACUCCGGAUUGGACCAAAGUAAGCGAGCUGUAGAUUUGACCGCGCCCUCAAAUGAGAUCAUACCUUCCUUCGCCGCUACAAGCCAGCAGAUUGAGACCAGUUCAUGUUUUACGGACACAACAGGCAGUGUUUCCAGUGUUCAGGAUGCAGAUGGGAGCUGCGGGCAGGUUUCAGGGGGUGGGUUGAGGUCUCUGAACGGCUCCGAGAGGCGCGGACCCUGCAGGCGGGACAGCAGCGUGGUCCGGCGGCUGCUGCUGACGGAAUCCUGUUGGUUUAACUUGGCCUUCAGCGGGCGGCAGCACUGCAUGCUGCCCGCAAAGUCCGAGAGGAGGUGGCCGCUGAAGAUCAUGUAGAUCCAGGGGUUGCAGCAGCUGUUGAGGCUGGCCAGCAGGGCGGUGAGCGUCACCGUGGUGUUCUCGGAGUCUGCAGGGAAACAAAAGAUUUAUGAGGCACGCACUCAGAUGUUAACAACUAAUCAGAGGUGUUUACUCGUUCUCUGGAGUCGCUGGCAUGCCUGCCAAAUGUUUAUUCUCCCCUCCAGCCCCAGUUUGAGCCUGUAAUCGCUGGAUUUACAGUUUGGGACUUUUGCAUUUUGGAUUUUAUCCAGUACAACGGACCUGUGUCCAGUGCUCCGACACUUUUUGGCUGUUUGUAUAGAAAUAUAUAUGAUCUUGUAAUGUUUUCAGUUCAUUUAAUGUUGUAAAACGAAUGUGUAACUUCUUACCUUUCUAAGAGAAAAUCAUUUUAACCAUUUACAUUAGCUUUGUCUUUACAAUAGUCAGCAAAAGGAAGCUAAUACCGGUGAAUUAGCCGCGCCAUGCUACCCUUGGCUAUGCUGGGACAGCCCUAUCUCCCCGCUGUAAAAACUCACUGGGCACUGGUGGUUUUUCCGGGGGGCCGUACUUGUUCUUCACAAUAAAAUGACAUGCAUCAACAACUCCA